RNAcentral lists this small nuclear RNA (302 nucleotides) under Sus scrofa (pig). RNAcentral describes it as "7SK RNA". It matches the Rfam family "7SK RNA". From Rfam's summary of the family: 7SK was discovered as an abundant small nuclear RNA in the mid-70s but a possible function has only recently been suggested. Two independent studies have found that 7SK RNA binds the CDK9/cyclin T complex (known as elongation factor P-TEFb). The record is from Rfam by way of RNAcentral. Lineage: Eukaryota; Metazoa; Chordata; Mammalia; Artiodactyla; Suidae.
GGAUGUGAGGGAGCUCUGGCUGCAACAUCUGUCACCCACUGAUCAUCAGGGUUGAUGUGGCUGAUCUGACUGGCUAGGUGGGUGUCCCCUUCCUCCCUCACAGCUCCAUGUGCAUCCCUCCCAAAGCUGUGCACUUGAUCUACUGGUCCUUCUCCAAUAGAGGACUGUUCUUUGGUCAAGGGCACAUGACUAGCUGUGCUCCCCCGCUAGAAUCUCCAAACAAACUCUCCAAUAGGAAAACAAUCUAAAUUUCCAUUAAGAGAAAAAUUAUUAACUACAUUAUGUAAUAUUGUGUAGCCAAU